This 65-nucleotide transfer RNA is filed under the name Stygiocaris lancifera. Its description in RNAcentral is "tRNA-Ile". Lineage: Eukaryota; Metazoa; Arthropoda; Malacostraca; Decapoda; Atyidae. The record is from RNAcentral.
AAUGACGUGCUUGAUUAAAAGGCUACCUUGAUAGGGUAGAUAAAGGAAUUUCUUUCCCGCCAUUA